GCCUUCGUGGUGUAGUGGUCAGCACGCUCGACGCGUAACCGAGAGUUCUGUGGUUCGAUUCCCGGCGAAGGCG
RNAcentral lists this transfer RNA (73 nucleotides) under Stegodyphus mimosarum. It matches the Rfam family "tRNA". Rfam says of the family: Transfer RNA (tRNA) molecules are approximately 80 nucleotides in length. Their secondary structure includes four short double-helical elements and three loops (D, anti-codon, and T loops). Lineage: Eukaryota; Metazoa; Arthropoda; Arachnida; Araneae; Eresidae. The record is from Rfam by way of RNAcentral.